RNAcentral lists this ribosomal RNA (387 nucleotides) under uncultured bacterium. RNAcentral's name for it is "bacterial SSU rRNA". It matches the Rfam family "Bacterial small subunit ribosomal RNA", at positions 28 to 417 of the family's 1533-position model. The record is from RNAcentral.
GACGAACGCUGGCGGCGUGCUUAACACAUGCAAGUCGAGCGGUAAGGCCCUUUCGGGGGUACACGAGCGGCGAACGGGUGAGUAACACGUGGGUGACCUGCCCUCAGCUCUGGGAUAAGCCCGGGAAACUGGGUCUAAUACCGGAUAUGACUCCAUGACGCAUGUUGUGGGGUGGAAAGCCUUGUGCGGCUGAGGAUGGGCCCGCGGCCUAUCAGCUUGUUGGUGGGGUGAUGGCCACCAAGGCGACGACGGGUAGCCGGCCUGAGAGGGCGACCGGCCACACUGGGACUGAGAUACGGCCCAGGACUCCUACGGGAGGCAGCAGUGGGGAAUCUUGCGCAAUGGGCGAAGCCUGACGCAGCGACGCCGCGUGAGGGAUGACGGCCU